Molecule: ribosomal RNA, 1364 nt
Filed under: uncultured bacterium
Lineage: Bacteria
Description: bacterial SSU rRNA
Rfam family: Bacterial small subunit ribosomal RNA
Source: RNAcentral
AUUGAACGCUGGCGGCUUGCUUAACACAUGCAAGUCGAGCGGUAGCACAGGGGAGCUUGCUCCCUGGGUGACGAGCGGCGGACGGGUGAGUAAUGUCUGGGAAACUGCCUGAUGGAGGGGGAUAACUACUGGAAACGGUAGCUAAUACCGCAUAACGUCGCAAGACCAAAGAGGGGGACCUUCGGGCCUCUUGCCAUCAGAUGUGCCCAGAUGGGAUUAGCUAGUAGGUGGGGUAAUGGCUCACCUAGGCGACGAUCCCUAGCUGGUCUGAGAGGAUGACCAGCCACACUGGAACUGAGACACGGUCCAGACUCCUACGGGAGGCAGCAGUGGGGAAUAUUGCACAAUGGGCGCAAGCCUGAUGCAGCCAUGCCGCGUGUGUGAAGAAGGCCUUCGGGCUGUAAAGCACUUUCAGCGAGGAGGAAGGUGGUGAACUUAAUACGUUCAUCAAUUGACGUUACUCGCAGAAGAAGCACCGGCUAACUCCGUGCCAGCAGCCGCGGUAAUACCGGAGGGUGCAAGCGUUAAUCGGAAUUACUGGGCGUAAAGCGCACGCAGGCGGUUUGUUAAGUCAGAUGUGAAAUCCCCGGGCUCAACCUGGGAACUGCAUUUGAAACUGGCAAGCUAGAGUCUCGUAGAGGGGGGUAGAAUUCCAGGUGUAGCGGUGAAAUGCGUAGAGAUCUGGAGGAAUACCGGUGGCGAAGGCGGCCCCCUGGACGAAGACUGACGCUCAGGUGCGAAAGCGUGGGGAGCAAACAGGAUUAGAUACCCUGGUAGUCCACGCUGUAAACGAUGUCGAUUUGGAGGUUGUGCCCUUGAGGCGUGGCUUCCGGAGCUAACGCGUUAAAUCGACCGCCUGGGGAGUACGGCCGCAAGGUUAAAACUCAAAUGAAUUGACGGGGGCCCGCACAAGCGGUGGAGCAUGUGGUUUAAUUCGAUGCAACGCGAAGAACCUUACCUACUCUUGACAUCCAGAGAACUUAGCAGAGAUGCUUUGGUGCCUUCGGGAACUCUGAGACAGGUGCUGCAUGGCUGUCGUCAGCUCGUGUUGUGAAAUGUUGGGUUAAGUCCCGCAACGAGCGCAACCCUUAUCCUUUGUUGCCAGCGGUUCGGCCGGGAACUCAAAGGAGACUGCCAGUGAUAAACUGGAGGAAGGUGGGGAUGACGUCAAGUCAUCAUGGCCCUUACGAGUAGGGCUACACACGUGCUACAAUGGCAUAUACAAAGAGAAGCGACCUCGCGAGAGCAAGCGGACCUCAUAAAGUAUGUCGUAGUCCGGAUUGGAGUCUGCAACUCGACUCCAUGAAGUCGGAAUCGCUAGUAAUCGUAGAUCAGAAUGCUACGGUGAAUACGUUCCCGGGCCA